This 77-nucleotide transfer RNA is filed under the name Candidatus Nitrosopumilus sp. RNAcentral describes it as "Nitrosopumilus sp. tRNA-Pro". It matches the Rfam family "tRNA". Rfam says of the family: Transfer RNA (tRNA) molecules are approximately 80 nucleotides in length. Their secondary structure includes four short double-helical elements and three loops (D, anti-codon, and T loops). Further hydrogen bonds mediate the characteristic L-shaped molecular structure. tRNAs have two regions of fundamental functional importance: the anti-codon, which is responsible for specific mRNA codon recognition, and the 3' end, to which the tRNAs corresponding amino acid is attached (by aminoacyl-tRNA synthetases). tRNAs cope with the degeneracy of the genetic code in two manners: having more than one tRNA (with a specific anti-codon) for a particular amino acid; and 'wobble' base-pairing, i.e. permitting non-standard base-pairing at the 3rd anti-codon position. Lineage: Archaea; Thermoproteati; Nitrososphaerota; Nitrososphaeria; Nitrosopumilales; Nitrosopumilaceae. The record is from RNAcentral.
GGGGACGUAGGUUAGCUUGGUGUCAUACUGCCAGUCUCGGGUACUGGAGGUCAUGGGUUCAAGUCCCAUCGUCCCCA